GACGAACGCUGGCGGCGUGCUUAACACAUGCAAGUCGAACGGAAAGGCCCUGCUUUUGUGGGGUGCUCGAGUGGCGAACGGGUGAGUAACACGUGGGUAACCUGCCCUUGACUUUGGGAUAACUUCAGGAAACUGGGGCUAAUACCGGAUAGGAGCUCCUGCUGCAUGGUGGGGGUUGGAAAGUUUCGGCGGUUGGGGAUGGACUCGCGGCUUAUCAGCUUGUUGGUGGGGUAGUGGCUUACCAAGGCUUUGACGGGUAGCCGGCCUGAGAGGGUGACCGGCCACAUUGGGACUGAGAUACGGCCCAGACUCCUACGGGAGGCAGCAGUGGGGAAUAUUGCACAAUGGGCGGAAGCCUGAUGCAGCAGCGCCGCGUGCGGGAUGACGGCCUUCGGGUUGUAAACCGCUUUCGCCUGUGACGAAGCGUGAGUGACGGUAAUGGGUAAAGAAGCACCGGCUAACUACGUG
This 468-nucleotide ribosomal RNA is filed under the name uncultured bacterium. RNAcentral's name for it is "partial 16S ribosomal RNA". It matches the Rfam family "Bacterial small subunit ribosomal RNA", at positions 28 to 507 of the family's 1533-position model. The record is from RNAcentral.